AUCCAUCUGACGAGUCCUAAAUAGGACGAAACGUGUAU
RNAcentral lists this non-coding RNA (38 nucleotides) under Schistosoma mansoni. Lineage: Eukaryota; Metazoa; Platyhelminthes; Trematoda; Strigeidida; Schistosomatidae. The record is from RNAcentral.